This 247-nucleotide long non-coding RNA is filed under the name Trifolium pratense (red clover). RNAcentral describes it as "long non-coding RNA (TPRA_LNC001334)". Lineage: Eukaryota; Viridiplantae; Streptophyta; Magnoliopsida; Fabales; Fabaceae. The record is from RNAcentral.
UAUAUGUUUGGUUAUGAGUUGGAAACCAGUAAACGUGCGUUUCAAAGACAAAACGUGAGUUUUUUCUUUUAGAAUGGUGUUUGGGUGGUUGAUUUAAAAUCAAUUCCAAGGACUCAGACGCGAUUCAAAGUGAAGCUAGUUUUCCUAGCUUCUGCGUUGAUGGAAAAUUGAUUCUUGUUGGUGACUCAUUUAAUAUUUGAUGACAGAUAUAAUAUUCCUUUAUUGUCCUUCAACAACCUCUAUAUUU